This 28-nucleotide non-coding RNA is filed under the name Cricetulus griseus (Chinese hamster). The record is from RNAcentral. Lineage: Eukaryota; Metazoa; Chordata; Mammalia; Rodentia; Cricetidae.
ACAAACUGGGGCAGGAUUGUGACUCUUA